GACUAACGCUGGCGGCGUGCCUAAUACAUGCAAGUCGAACGGGAUUCUUUGAUCAGCUUGCUGAGAGAAGGAUCUAGUGGCGGACGGGUGAGUAACGCGUGGGAAUCUGCCUCUUACUGGGGGAUAACAGUGGGAAACUACUGCUAAUACCGCAUAAGAUCUUCGGAUGAAAGGUGCAACUGCACCGGUAAGAGAUGAGCCCGCGUCCCAUUAGCUAGUUGGUGAGGUAAAGGCUCACCAAGGCGACGAUGGGUAGCCGGCCUGAGAGGGUGAACGGCCACACUGGGACUGAGACACGGCCCAGACUCCUACGGGAGGCAGCAGUAGGGAAUCUUCCGGCAAUGGGCGCAAGCCUGACGGAGCGACGCCGCGUGAGUGAUGAAGGCCUUCGGGUCGUAAAGCUCUGUUCUUGAGGACGAAUAAGCCAGGGAGUGGAAAGCCCUGGUGAUGACUGUACUCAAGGAGAAAGCUCCGGCUAACUACGUGCC
This 488-nucleotide ribosomal RNA is filed under the name uncultured bacterium. RNAcentral's name for it is "bacterial SSU rRNA". It matches the Rfam family "Bacterial small subunit ribosomal RNA", at positions 28 to 509 of the family's 1533-position model. The record is from RNAcentral.